This 432-nucleotide ribosomal RNA is filed under the name uncultured bacterium. Its description in RNAcentral is "partial 16S ribosomal RNA". It matches the Rfam family "Bacterial small subunit ribosomal RNA", at positions 29 to 506 of the family's 1533-position model. The record is from RNAcentral.
AACGAACGCUGGCGGCAUGCCUAACACAUGCAAGUCGAACGAGACCUUCGGGUCUAGUGGCGCACGGGUGCGUAACGCGUGGGAACCUGCCCUUAGGUUCGGAAUAACUCCCCGAAAGGGGUGCUAAUACCGGAUAAUGUCUUCGGACCAAAGAUUUAUCGCCUUUGGAUGGGCCCGCGUUGGAUUAGCUAGUUGGUAGGGUAAAAGCCUACCAAGGCGACGAUCCAUAGCUGGUCUGAGAGGAUAAUCAGCCACACUGGGACUGAGACACGGCCCAGACUCCUACGGGAGGCAGCAGUGGGGAAUAUUGGACAAUGGGCGAAAGCCUGAUCCAGCAAUGCCGCGUGAGUGAUGAAGGCCUUAGGGUUGUAAAGCUCUUUUACCCGGGAUGAUAAUGACAGUACCGGGAGAAUAAGCUCCGGCUAACUCCGU